CCCUUAGAUGUUCUGGGCCGCACGCGCGCUACACUGAUGCAUUCAACGAGUUCCUACCUUGGCCGAGAGGCCUGGGCAAUCUUUUGAACUUGCAUCGUGAUAGGGAUAGAUUAUUGCAAUUAUUAAUCUUGAACGAGGAAUUCCUAGUAAACGCAGAUCAUCAAUCUGCAUUGAUUACGUCCCUGCCCUUUGUACACACCGCCCGUCGCACCUACCGAUUGAAUGGUCCGGUGAAGCCUCGGGAUUGUGGUUCUUGCCGCUUUAUUGUGGCGUGACCGCGAGAACUUGUCUAAACCUUAUCAUCUAGAGGAAGGUGAAGUCGUAACA
RNAcentral lists this ribosomal RNA (327 nucleotides) under uncultured eukaryote. RNAcentral's name for it is "partial 18S ribosomal RNA". It matches the Rfam family "Eukaryotic small subunit ribosomal RNA", at positions 1470 to 1796 of the family's 1831-position model. The record is from RNAcentral.